UACGUAGGGUGCAAGCGUUGUCCGGAAUUAUUGGGCGUAAAGAGCUCGUAGGCGGUUUGUCGCGUCUGCUGUGAAAACUCGGGGCUUAACUCCGGGCCUGCAGUGGGUACGGGCAGACUAGAGUGCGGUAGGGGAGACUGGAAUUCCUGGUGUAGCGGUGAAAUGCGCAGAUAUCAGGAGGAACACCGGUGGCGAAGGCGGAUCUCUGGGCCUGUUCUGACGCUGAGGCGCGAAAGCUAGGGGAGCGAACAGG
Molecule: ribosomal RNA, 253 nt
Filed under: uncultured bacterium
Lineage: Bacteria
Description: partial 16S ribosomal RNA
Rfam family: Bacterial small subunit ribosomal RNA
Source: RNAcentral